RNAcentral lists this ribosomal RNA (543 nucleotides) under uncultured Denitromonas sp. RNAcentral describes it as "bacterial SSU rRNA". It matches the Rfam family "Bacterial small subunit ribosomal RNA", at positions 338 to 873 of the family's 1533-position model. Lineage: Bacteria; Pseudomonadati; Pseudomonadota; Betaproteobacteria; Rhodocyclales; Zoogloeaceae. The record is from RNAcentral.
CCUACGGGAGGCAGCAGUGGGGAAUUUUGGACAAUGGGCGCAAGCCUGAUCCAGCCAUGCCGCGUGAGUGAAGAAGGCCUUCGGGUUGUAAAGCUCUUUCAGGUGGAAAGAAAUCGCAUGCUCUAAUACCGGGUUUGGAUGACGGUACCACCAGAAGAAGCACCGGCUAACUACGUGCCAGCAGCCGCGGUAAUACGUAGGGUGCGAGCGUUAAUCGGAAUUACUGGGCGUAAAGCGUGCGCAGGCGGUUGUGUAAGACAGGUGUGAAAUCCCCGGGCUUAACCUGGGAACUGCGCUUGUGACUGCACAGCUAGAGUACGGCAGAGGGGGGUGGAAUUCCACGUGUAGCAGUGAAAUGCGUAGAGAUGUGGAGGAACACCGAUGGCGAAGGCAGCCCCCUGGGCCUGUACUGACGCUCAUGCACGAAAGCGUGGGGAGCAAACAGGAUUAGAUACCCUGGUAGUCCACGCCCUAAACGAUGUCGACUAGUUGUUCGGAGAGGAAACUUUCUGGGUAACGCAGCUAACGCGGAAGUCGACCGCC